GCCCGGAUAGCUCGGUCCGUAGAGCAUCAGACGUUUAACUUGAGGGUUCAGGGUUCGAGUCUCUGUUUGGGUG
Molecule: non-coding RNA, 73 nt
Organism: Megalops atlanticus (tarpon)
Lineage: Eukaryota; Metazoa; Chordata; Actinopteri; Elopiformes; Megalopidae
Source: the annotation of a GenBank genome assembly